ACAAGAUACAUUCUCAACAUUAACUUCAUAAAACCAGAGACCAUUAUGGCUACAUUGUUGAAAUGAAAGAAACACACUCAGUGCAAACAUAGCCACAAUCUGGAAAUAUAAAAUGAGGUGGCCCCGUGACCCUGCCGACACCGAGGCUCAUUUCAUCACCGUGGACAGCGCUAUGAAAUCACGGCACACAUUGACAAAUGAACUCAUGUGCAUGCUCAAGCUACAAUACAAUUUCAAAUGCAUUCUUUUCUUUUUUUCUUUAGAUACAAGGAAGUGCGGUGCGCCCGGCCCCGCCAGGAUCCCACCUCAGCCCGGCGCGUGUCGGUCUUCACUUAAGCCGCGCGGCGUGGCGCGGCACACAGGCGCACACUCCAUAUCCACACUCCGGCUCAACGCGCACCGCAGCCACUGAACCACCAGGCUCCUCAGUCACAGCGCACAUGUUUUCAAUAAUAAGCCCCGCCCCAAACAUUUCAAGCUUUCACACCUGAUUGGCUGACCAUUGUGCCAAUAUUUAAACUCCUGUGUUGACAGCCGCACCAGAGGGACAGAUCACAGAUCAUCAACGCAAACCUGCUACAAAACCCCGGACUGGUAUUCAUGGACGGACUGAACUGGAUUUGGUUUGCUGGUGAUGAGUUGGAAGCAAGCCAAGAGGGGCAGUGGCCCUGGUGGCAGUAGUGAAUG
Molecule: long non-coding RNA, 687 nt
Organism: Solea solea (common sole)
Lineage: Eukaryota; Metazoa; Chordata; Actinopteri; Pleuronectiformes; Soleidae
Exons: 3
Source: RefSeq, a predicted model, not a curated record